RNAcentral lists this long non-coding RNA (281 nucleotides) under Elaeis guineensis (African oil palm). RNAcentral describes it as "long non-coding RNA (EGUI_LNC015171)". The record is from RNAcentral. Lineage: Eukaryota; Viridiplantae; Streptophyta; Magnoliopsida; Arecales; Arecaceae.
CGUGCCCUUAGACGCCAAACGGCCUUUGAAGAUCACACUUCUUCGUGCUUCGCCAAUUCGGAUUCGAUUACAGAGAAAUUUCGAAGACUUCACGAACACUGCGAGAGAAGCAAACCCGCCUUGUAGAUACUCAAACUCUAGACUUUGAGUCAGAGAUGAGGUUCCCAAAGAAGACGAUGGAGGAUGAGAAAGGAAAAAAAGGCAUUGAGAUAUUUUGGUAUGUUGAUCAUGAUUUUAUUAUAUUGAAACCUCAGCAAGUAUAGAGUUUAAGAUUGACCGCC